CCUGACUGACCGAUAGUGAACCAGUACCGUGAGGGAAAGGCGAAAAGAACCCCGGCGAGGGGAGUGAAAAAGAACCUGAAACCGUGUACGUACAAGCAGUAGGAGCCUCUUUAUGGGGUGACUGCGUACCUUUUGUAUAAUGGGUCAGCGACUUAUAUUCUGUAGCAAGGUUAACCGUAUAGGGGAGCCGCAGGGAAACCGAGUCUUAACUGGGCGUUAAGUUGCAGGGUAUAGACCCGAAACCCGGUGAUCUAGCCAUGGGCAGGUUGAAGGUUGGGUAACACUAACUGGAGGACCGAACCGACUAAUGUUGAAAAAUUAGCGGAUGACUUGUGGCUGGGGGUGAAAGGCCAAUCAAACCGGGAGAUAGCUGGUUCUCCCCGAAAGCUAUUUAGGUAGCGCCUCGUGAACUCAUCUUCGGGGGUAGAGCACUGUUUCGGCUAGGGGGUCAUCCCGACUUACCAACCCGAUGCAAACUACGAAUACCGAAGAAUGUUAUCACGGGAGACACACGGCGGGUGCUAACGUCCGUCGUGAAGAGGGAAACAACCCAGACCGCCAGCUAAGGUCCCAAAGUCAUGGUUAAGUGGGAAACGAUGUGGGAAGGCCCAGACAGCCAGGAUGUUGGCUUAGAAGCAGCCAUCAUUUAAAGAAAGCGUAAUAGCUCACUGGUCGAGUCGGCCUGCGCGGAAGAUGUAACGGGGCUAAACCAUGCACCGAAGCUGCGGCAGCGACACUAUGUGUUGUUGGGUAGGGGAGCGUUCUGUAAGCCGUUGAAGGUGGCCUGUGAGGGUUGCUGGAGGUAUCAGAAGUGCGAAUGCUGACAUAAGUAACGAUAAUGCGGGUGAAAAACCCGCACGCCGGAAGACCAAGGGUUCCUGUCCAACGUUAAUCGGGGCAGGGUGAGUCGACCCCUAAGGCGAGGCCGAAAGGCGUAGUCGAUGGGAAACAGGUUAAUAUUCCUGUACUCGGUGUUACUGCGAAGGGGGGACGGAGAAGGCUAUGUUGGCCGGGCGACGGUUGUCCCGGUUUAAGCAUGUAGGCGGAUGUUCCAGGUAAAUCCGGAACGUUAUUAACGCUGAGGUGUGAUGACGAGGCACUACGGUGCUGAAGUGACAAAUGCCCUGCUUCCAGGAAAAGCCUCUAAGCAUCAGGUAACAUCAAAUCGUACCCCAAACCGACACAGGUGGUCAGGUAGAGAAUACCAAGGCGCUUGAGAGAACUCGGGUGAAGGAACUAGGCAAAAUGGUGCCGUAACUUCGGGAGAAGGCACGCUGAUAUGUAGGUGAAGUGGUUUACCCAUGGAGCUGAAAUCAGUCGAAGAUACCAGCUGGCUGCAACUGUUUAUUAAAAACACAGCACUGUGCAAACACGAAAGUGGACGUAUACGGUGUGACGCCUGCCCGGUGCCGGAAGGUUAAUUGAUGGGGUUAUCCGUAAGGAGAAGCUCUUGAUCGAAGCCCCGGUAAACGGCGGCCGUAACUAUAACGGUCCUAAGGUAGCGAAAUUCCUUGUCGGGUAAGUUCCGACCUGCACGAAUGGCGUAAUGAUGGCCAGGCUGUCUCCACCCGAGACUCAGUGAAAUUGAACUCGCUGUGAAGAUGCAGUGUACCCGCGGCAAGACGGAAAGACCCCGUGAACCUUUACUAUAGCUUGACACUGAACACUGGUCCUUGAUGUGUAGGAUAGGUGGGAGGCUUUGAAGUGUGGACGCCAGUCUGCAUGGAGCCAUCCUUGAAAUACCACCCUUUAAUGGCUGGUGUUCUAACGUGGGCCCCUAAUCGGGGUUGCGGACAGUGUCUGGUGGGUAGUUUGACUGGGGCGGUCUCCUCCUAAAGAGUAACGGAGGAGCACGAAGGUCAGCUAAUCCUGGUCGGACAUCAGGAGGUUAGUGCAAUGGCAUAAGCUGGCUUGACUGCGAGCGUGACGGCGCGAGCAGGUGCGAAAGCAGGUCAUAGUGAUCCGGUGGUUCUGAAUGGAAGGGCCAUCGCUCAACGGAUAAAAGGUACUCCGGGGAUAACAGGCUGAUACCGCCCAAGAGUUCAUAUCGACGGCGGUGUUUGGCACCUCGAUGUCGGCUCAUCACAUCCUGGGGCUGAAGUAGGUCCCAAGG
This 2113-nucleotide ribosomal RNA is filed under the name human gut metagenome. RNAcentral describes it as "bacterial LSU rRNA". It matches the Rfam family "Bacterial large subunit ribosomal RNA", at positions 475 to 2570 of the family's 2925-position model. The record is from RNAcentral.